Vigna radiata var. radiata (mung bean) is the source of this 1752-nucleotide long non-coding RNA. RefSeq lists it as uncharacterized. NCBI's taxonomy places the organism in Eukaryota, Viridiplantae, Streptophyta, Magnoliopsida, Fabales, Fabaceae. The transcript has 2 exons. The record is from RefSeq and is a predicted model, not a curated record.
UUUUUAUUUUUAUUAGCAAAGGGAUAUGACAACACACAAUAACAAAACAAUGCCAAAGCUAAAGAAAUAAAAAAACAAAGACAAUAAAAAAACCACAGUCCAAGCCCAAUAAGAAUAGGGGAGUGCAGAAAUAAUAAACCAGGGGUGCUGAGCACAAAUAAGGCCUUUCUGAUUUGAGCCCAAGUCCUUCCUUUCCAAAUUUUAAUCUGUCAGGGGUGCAAGGUUGAAAAUGGGGUGCAGUGCGAAAUAACCCGUCCAGGCCCAACCUUCUUUUUUCUUCUUUUUUGUUUGCAGCAAUGGAAUGGGAGUGUGAAUAGGAAAUAAAGGUGGCGGGCAGAGAGAAUGUGGCCCAGAUCAGGCCCAAAGCUUCUUUUUUAGAUAGGGAGUGGGGUGAGAAUAACGUUGCGUGUGGUGCCAGAAAGAAAAGGCGGCCCAGGCCCAAAGCCACUUAACCCUAACAGAAGCUGAUAGGGGUUUCUCCAAUUCCAUUCAUUAUGCCAAACACCAAGACCUAGGGUCAUCUUCUCUGAACGAAAGAAGCUAGAGAUCUGCCUCCACUGCUCACGGUCUCGUUUCAGCUUCCGGCCACCACAAACCGAGGUCCACGGCGCCGCCGACAGCGACCCUCCUCCCCUUUUCCGCAGCGGCCAAUGGUUGGGGCUUUCUUCCUUUGGGCACCGCCGGUCACCUCUUCGAACCCAGUCACCGCGCCACCAUCUCCUUCCGUCUCGGCGUCGCCUGUGACACCAUGCUUCACCAGAGCUAUCGCCGGCCUCGGCGUCACUGCUUUCUUUCAUCAAAACCUCCCCUGUACCAAGAAUCAGAUAUCCUUCUCGCGUAAGGGUUUGAAGUCGUUGUGACGCCUCCAUUUUCUUCACCGUCGCGACCCCAUGCUCAUCGCACAACAGCCUUGGCCGUAGAAGCCUAACGUCGUUGCGCUAUCAAUGGCGGGGAUGUCCUGCUUCUACACCUCCGUCGAUGCGCCUGCCAUUGAUCUGGGUUCGCCACAACUUUCUCCGAUCAGACUUACCUCUGCUGCGUCCCCGAGAGCCACCACAAGUCUUCUUGUAAUGAACCAGAUGAAGAUGAUGAGCGAUGACGGCAAUGAAUGGUAAGGAGAAUGCAGGCUGGGGGAAUGAUGGAGAGAAAAGGAAUAUCUGUGUUCUUGUGGUUGGGCUUGCUCGGUAGUGUUGUUUUUUUUGAGUAAGGGAGAUGGAAAGAUGAUGUAGUGGUUCAGUGGUGGUGUUCGAGUGUGUGUGGAUGAACUCAGUGGGUGAAGGAUUCUGAUGUGUGAAUUGAGAUGGCUCUAUGCGUUCAAGUAUUACGGUGUGUACGAGAGAGAACCUUUGGUUCUCGUAGUUGGGUGUGAUGGUGAAGAUGGAAGGGAUGAAAGGCGAGAAAGAUGACUCUGUUGGAGGAAAAUGAAUUCUGUUCUGUUUGAUUUUUGGUGUAUCUCUUUGGUGUUGAUGGAGAUGAGGGAUUAGAAUGGGUGUGAUAUGUGUGGGUUUCUGUUAUCAGCCGUAGGUGGUGAUGGAGGAAAAUUGAUUUAAAGGGGGGUCAUCAACGGAGAAAAAUGGUUCGGAUGCGAUAAUGAGGAUGGAUGCUAAAAUAUGGUGGAAUUCCAAUUGAAAAAGGAAAAUGCAGUUUUUGAGUAGUGGUAAAUGGUGUGUGCGUUUUGGUGCCCUCAAAACGGUUACCCUCUCUGAAUUUGUUUUUUUGUUCAAUCCAUACACCCUGACACUUUUUCAUUCA